RNAcentral lists this ribosomal RNA (253 nucleotides) under uncultured bacterium. RNAcentral's name for it is "partial 16S ribosomal RNA". It matches the Rfam family "Bacterial small subunit ribosomal RNA", at positions 524 to 776 of the family's 1533-position model. The record is from RNAcentral.
UACGGAGGGGGCUAGCGUUGUUCGGAAUUACUGGGCGUAAAGCGCGUGUAGGCGGCCCUGCAAGUCGGAUGUGAAAUCCCACGGCUCAACCGUGGAAGUGCAUUCGAAACUGCAGGGCUAGAGUCCUGGAGAGGAAGGUGGAAUGCUUGGUGUAGAGGUGAAAUUCGUAGAUAUCGGGAGGAACACCUGUGGCGAAGGCGGCUUUCUGGGCCUUACCUGACGCUGAGACGCGAAAGCGUGGGGAGCGAACCGG